GCGCGAGGAGCUAUAACCGCAUCAGGCCAGACGGAAAAGAAGUUCACGGCUGCACAGCAUUGGCGGCGGCGGCCACAAAUCAAAUGGCUCCUGUGCGUGGAGCGGCAGGUUCACUGCCUCCUGCCUACGGUGAGUGCUUUUGUUCUUUGAUUAGUGAUGGCCAUGGUAAUUAGCUCACUAUGGUUUUAGUAAUUGAUGCAUGGCCAUGCCCGUGGAUGUGCUGGCAUAUUAGAUUUGAUCUGUAUAAACUAUUUGCGAUACGUUGUGCUUGUUGCACCCAAUUAUUUUGUCAUUGAGGCCCUGAUGAUGAUGAAUUCAGUGUUGAGAUGCACCAUGGUGGGUUUUUCUGUGGAUCUGGAAGCAAUAGGACAUGUGUCGAUGACAAGGUUGAUUGGUUUGACCAUUGUGAAUCUGAUUCCUGAUCACUGCUAUGGAUCGAUGAUUUUAUCGAGGAGAUGAGGCAUCAAAAAAUAGACAAAACUAAGUUUAUUGGUUGUUGCCUGGAAAAGAAAUCAAUGAUGGUCUGAGAAGGCUCAGGUGUGAUGCUGGUACAAAUAGUAUGGUUGCUUUGGCUCCCUGGUUCAAAAUUUUAGUUGUAUAUGUUGAUCAAACUAGAAGAAUUACAUGUAGUCAUGCUAUAUCAUACCUAAGGCAAUAUAGAGCCUGAUUGGUUUGUUGCCAAAUUUUGGCAUGCCAAAGUUUUGCCAAGCCAAAAGUUGGACAAGAAACUUGCCGAUAUUUUGGUAAGAUAAGUGGGAGAGGUUGCUAAAUUUUGGUAACAAACCAAACAAUGGCCAAAAUAUUGGCUUGCCAAAUCUCUAGCAUGCUAAAAUUUUGGUAGUGAACCAAUCAGGCCCAUAAUUAUCGCCUACAAGUAAGGGGGUGUUUGGAUACGAUGUGCUAAACUUUAACAGUGUUACAUCGGAUGUUCGGAUGCUAAUUAGGAGAACUAAAUAUGAGCUAAUUAUAAAACUAAUUGCAGAACCCUGUGCUAAUUCGCGAGAUGAAUCUAUUAAGCCUAAUUAAUCCAUCAUUAGCAAAUGGUUACUAUAGCACCACAUUGUCAAAUCAUGGACUAAUUAGGCUUAAUAGAUUCGUCUCGCGAAUUACACUCCAUCUGUGCAAUUAGUUUUGUAAUUAACCUAUUUAAUACUCCUAAUUAGCAUCCAAACAUCUGAUGUGACGGGUGUUAAAUUUUAACACCCUGUUGCCAAACAGCCCCUAAUUAUUAUGGAAUGGUCAUUUCUCAUCAUCCACAUUAUAGGAAGCGUAGCCUUCCUUCAGGUUUACAGGGACUAAUAACCAACAAGCCGGUUCCACGAGCACCUAGGUAGACUAGAAUAAUUGUUGUAGUAAAUUUUUGUGUCUACUAAUCUAUCUUCAACUAAUCAUCCUCUAAAUUUUAGGAUAUCCAGCCUACUCGCUGUAGCCAAUAAAGAACCUCUGUCAUGCAUACAUUUAUGAGAAGAUGUAUGAAAAUAAGCCAGCCUUGUUAUGUCUGUUCCUUUGUAUAAAAAAAAUCUAGUUGUUUAAUAAUGAAUUUUCUGUCAGGCUAUCAGCAACCAACAAGAUCGUGGUGGACUACCAGCUCCAGAAUGUGUUUUCAUUGCUACGCUUAGGAUCAGGAGAGAUGGUGCGCAUCCUCCUCUAACUACAGGAACAAGGAAGGGAAGAGCAACAAUUAGGAAGAAGGAGGCAGCACCAAAAAAGAAAAUAAUCAAGAAGUAGCAGUUUUUAGUUCAGCCGUGAAGUCGAUGAAGUAAUGAGCUUUGUUUUGUCUAACAAAUUAAGGGGUUGGGUCUUAUUUUAUAUGCAAUAUGGAUUUAGCUUGGGGAUGGAACAUUUCAUUGCUUUCUCUUUUUUUCGGGACAUAAACAUGCUUACAAUUUUGCAUUUGAGUUAUGAUUACGGACCUUUUGCAUAUUAUUUACAUGUUAAGUCAUUAACAAUUUGGAUUACCC
This 1961-nucleotide long non-coding RNA is filed under the name Setaria italica (foxtail millet). Its description in RNAcentral is "long non-coding RNA (SITA_LNC006503)". The record is from RNAcentral. Lineage: Eukaryota; Viridiplantae; Streptophyta; Magnoliopsida; Poales; Poaceae.